ACCAGUCUUAGGGCACCUCUCACUUAGGCAGGUAAUGGUGCAUAUUAUGGCAUUUGUUCCCAUGACUUGCCAAAGGAGAGUUGCCCUGUGACUGCU
This 96-nucleotide microRNA precursor is filed under the name Gossypium raimondii (Peruvian cotton). RNAcentral's name for it is "miR399 stem-loop (gra-MIR399)". Its record names the gene gra-MIR399. Lineage: Eukaryota; Viridiplantae; Streptophyta; Magnoliopsida; Malvales; Malvaceae. The record is from miRBase by way of RNAcentral.